This 478-nucleotide ribosomal RNA is filed under the name [Candida] sp. CRUB 1294. RNAcentral describes it as "eukaryotic LSU rRNA". It matches the Rfam family "Eukaryotic large subunit ribosomal RNA", at positions 62 to 547 of the family's 3401-position model. Lineage: Eukaryota; Fungi; Ascomycota; Saccharomycetes; Saccharomycetales. The record is from RNAcentral.
AAACCAACAGGGAUUGCCUUAUAACGGCGAGUGAAGCGGCAAAAGCUCAAAUUUGAAAUCUAGUACCUUUGGUGCUCGAGUUGUAAUUUGAAGAUAGUUUACUGGUACUGGUCCUUGUCUAUGUCCUUGGAACAGGACGUCAUAGAGGGUGAGAAUCCCGUCUGAUGGGGUGUCCAGUACUUUGUAGAUUUCUAUCGAAGAGUCGAGUUGUUGGGAAUGCAGCUCUAAGUGGGUGGUAAAUUCCAUCUAAAGCUAAAUACUGGCGAGAGACCGAUAGCGAACAAGUACAGUGAUGGAAAGAUGACAAGAACUUUGAAAAGAGAGUGAAAAAGUACGUGAAAUUGUUGAAAGGGAAGGGUAUUGGAUCAGACUUGGUGUUUUGUGAUUAUCUUCCCUUCUUGGGUUGUGCACUCGCAUUUCACUGGGCCAGCAUCGGUUCGGAUGGCAAGAUAAAUGGCUUGGGAACGUGGCACUCUUC